This 378-nucleotide unclassified non-coding RNA is filed under the name Hevea brasiliensis (rubber tree). Lineage: Eukaryota; Viridiplantae; Streptophyta; Magnoliopsida; Malpighiales; Euphorbiaceae. The record is from RNAcentral.
AGAUGUCUUUAGGAGUCUUUAUUUUUUAAUUUUAUGUCUUACUUUGCGGAUUAGGAUUAGUUUUAGAGUCCAUUAUCUUUAAGGAGGAUUAAUACGAGUCAUUAAAUACCAUCAUAAUUCACUUUUUUUAUUGAAUAAGAUACAAGUAGUUAUGUGUCUAUGGAUUGUGUGAUGCAAUUCUAACCUAAGUGUGAAGUAGGGGUGUUUGGUUCCGGUAUGGUUCUAGCUAAGAACCAGAAUCAAACCUUUGGUUUUUUGACUUUUAGGAAGCAAACUUGGAACCAAACUUUGAUUCCAGUUCCGGCCCAGUUCUAAGCAAUUUCAGUACGAUUUUAACUCUAUUUUUGGUUCUGUUUUAGUUUCAAUUUUGAUUCUAAU